Tinamus guttatus (white-throated tinamou) is the source of this 1171-nucleotide non-coding RNA. NCBI's taxonomy places the organism in Eukaryota, Metazoa, Chordata, Aves, Tinamiformes, Tinamidae. The record is from RefSeq and is a predicted model, not a curated record.
CAUCUGUAUCAUUUAGAAUUUUAAAAGUAAAAUGUAAAUGAUGUUUUGCUAUUGCCAGAAAGGAUUUGAUGUAUUCAAUGCACUAGACUUGAUGGAAAAUAAAACAUUCCUGGAAAAACUCAAGUUUGGGAUUGGAGAUGGCAAUUUGCAGUAUUAUUUGUACAACUGGAGGUGUCCUGGCAUGGAAUCUGAAAAGGUUGGUCUUGUAUUACAAUGAGGACAUUUGUGUUCCUAGAACUCUGAGGUCAUCGUUUGAGUUAAUUUGAUCUCCAUGGCAUCUCUUGGAAUGGUGUUGUUCAAGAGGAGUAAAAGCACAACGUCAGAGAUCCUGAGAUAGUCCAUUAAAACCUGAACAAUGAAGAAAUCCAUAUGCGACCAAAUUUAUGCAUUUUCAGAUAGAUCAGAAGGUCCAUGAAACUCUUUUAUUGUCCAUGAAAAGAAUAAAAGCACAUUCAUUUAAGUUUCAAAGCUUAGCUUGCACCUUGAUGAGAAGAAGGUAUUUUUUCCACUCUGUAGAAAAGACUGUUUUGUACAAACUGAACUUCAGUGGCGGAGUAGGGUACAAAAAUAUUUGCUAUUAUGUGGAUGAACUGCUGCAUUUCUAUUUAUUAAGUGGUGGUGUAUGUUCGUCAGUGUAACAGAAUGAAGGAUACAAACUCGAGUAUCUUUGCUUAUUUACUUCACGUGGAUAUCAUCAUUUGGGGGAAAAUCAUGAAGUAUGAGACGUUUUUAGCUCUAUGAAAGUCCUGGAUGUUUUUGUAACCGGAGCAGUAUGACGAUGUACUGGUUUAACUAGUGCAUUUAUUUCUCCAUAAGCAAUGCUGCCAAAUCAAUAAAAAUACAGAUUUGUACUUUGAUCUUCAAUAGAUCAGUGGAUUGAUUUAACAGUAUCGCACUGUUCAGUGCAGGUGUUAUCUAUGUUGCCGGAAUGAUUAUACAUUACUGUACUUAAUUUACAGUUGUGGCACAAAAACUUAGUUUUUCCUCAGUAGAUUAACAUCAGCCUGUGUGUAAAACUAAGAAUUUUAGUAGUGCUAUCAGGAUAUUUAUAGUUUGAAUGUUUUCAAUGCUUCUGCAAAAUUGCACAUAUUCCUUUGUCUACUUUGAUUUCUUAUGAAGUCUGUAAUUCCAAUGAAAAGUAUCUUGUGUAAAUAAGUAUUCAUAAAUUGUU